CCAAAGGCUCUUUUCAGAGCCACCCACGUUUUUCCUAAGAAGUGCU
RNAcentral lists this non-coding RNA (46 nucleotides) under Marmota monax (woodchuck). It matches the Rfam family "Histone 3' UTR stem-loop". Rfam says of the family: The mRNAs of metazoan histone genes lack a poly-A tail. Lineage: Eukaryota; Metazoa; Chordata; Mammalia; Rodentia; Sciuridae. The record is from RNAcentral.